UACGAAGAGUGCAAACGUUGCUCGGAAUUAUUGGGCGUAAAGCGCACGUAGGCGGCUAUCUAAGUCGGAUGUGAAAUCCCUCGGCUUAACCAAGGAAGUGCACCCGAAACUGGAUAGCUUGAGUACAGAAGAGGAUCGCGGAAUUCCCGGUGUAGAGGUGAAAUUCGUAGAUAUCGGGAGGAACACCAGUGGCGAAGGCGGCGAUCUGGGCUGAUACUGACGCUGAGGUGCGAAAGCGUGGGGAGCAAACAGG
Molecule: ribosomal RNA, 253 nt
Filed under: uncultured bacterium
Lineage: Bacteria
Description: partial 16S ribosomal RNA
Rfam family: Bacterial small subunit ribosomal RNA
Source: RNAcentral